RNAcentral lists this ribosomal RNA (325 nucleotides) under uncultured eukaryote. Its description in RNAcentral is "partial 18S ribosomal RNA". It matches the Rfam family "Eukaryotic small subunit ribosomal RNA", at positions 1470 to 1796 of the family's 1831-position model. The record is from RNAcentral.
CCCUUAGAUGUUCUGGGCUGCACGCGCGCUACACUGAAGCGUUCAACGAGUAUUCACCUUGCCCGGGAGGGUUGGGUAAUCUUUUGAAAACGCUUCGUGAUGGGGAUAGAUUAUUGCAAUUAUUAAUCUUCAACGAGGAAUUCCUAGUAAGCGCGAGUCAUCAGCUCGUGCUGAUUACGUCCCUGCCCUUUGUACACACCGCCCGUCGCUCCUACCGAUUGAGUGGUCCGGUGAAUAAUUCGGACUGAGGAUUUAGGCAGUUUCUGUCUUUAUCUUCGGGAAGUCUAGUGAACCUUAUCACUUAGAGGAAGGAGAAGUCGUAACA